GGCUAGGGGUCAAAUCAGAGCUGCAGCCCCCGGCCUACACCACAGCUCACAGCAACGCCAGAUCCGUACGUAACCCGUUGAGCAAAGGCCAGGGAUUGAACCCACAUCCUUGUGGAUGCUCGUUGGAUUUGUUUCCUCCGAGCCAUGAUGGGAACUCCCUGGAAAAGUAAUUAUUAAGAGCAGCGAGGAUAAGGAAGCUGGUUAGGAAGCUGGUUGUGCCCAGACUCAACCUUGAUGAGAGAAGUUGAUAAGUGAUCACUAAUGGGAGAUGCCUAAUUCAGGGGAGGUUAUUGUGCACUGAGACUUGGACUGUAGACCUGGAGGUGUAGGCAGUUUGUUUGUCCAAGUCUGUGGCUGGUGGAGUGUCUGGUUCUUUUCCACUUGGGGGAGUUCUCCGGCAGCCCUAAGCGUGGGCCGUCUGCUGCUUCCCCCGCCGUGGGUGAUGAGAAGGUGACUGGAUUGGCCUGGGCCUCUCUCCACUAGAGCGACACCUCGUGGGCGUGAGGGGUAUGGGGGGGAACGUGCUCUCCCCUGACUGUGAAGGUCGCGCAGUGGGUGCAGCGGAGAGAGGCUUUUGACUCCUUGUUUUUAAAACUAAUCGUUUGGGGGGACUCCUGAAGAAACGAGUGCGGGGUUGAUGCACUGUGUAAAAUUUGAUGAUGGCUUUUUUUUUUUUUUUUAGAGUCAGGUCAGCCACAGUGCAGUCAGGGAGUCCCGACCCCCUGCAAGUAGAAAUAGAGGUGGGUUCAAAAGGAAACUAGUGAUUGUCCUGCUGGUGGCGGCCUGUGUGAGUCAGUCACUGGUGACUUGCCUCUGUCUCUUUCCCCCGCAGCAGACUGGCCAUGGUGGUAGGUGUUGCCUCUGCAGGUGGGAUAGGUGAACUUUUAUGCCCACAUGAGUGAGAGUCAAAAGAGUAAAGCUGGGAAGGCUUCCAGAAAGAAGGGAGAAAGAGGCUGUUAGCUUCUCCUCCAGCUGUUUGCGCCAUAAACAGUGACUGCUCUUUGGAGGCUGUGAAAUUUUUGUGCAGCUUUGCUGUGUCUGAUGUCUAGUCACAGUCACCCAGCCCCUGCUCCUUCCACUACAUGGCAGCUGUCAUUGUCCAUCUCAGUAGAACGUGAGCUCUGCCUAAAGCCUGAAGGCUGGUGUUCCCUCCCCACCCCACGUGGGAGCUCCGACCUGGAGGUGAAGGUGGCUGGCAGCUGGGGAGGCUUCUUAUGCGCUGGAGCCUGCAUCAGUUCAGUCUUCACCCAGCCCUGGGGAGGAGGGACUUUGUUCCCAGGCUAGGGGUCGCAUCCAAGCUACAGCUGCCAGCCUACACCACAGCCACAGCCACUCCAGAUCAGAGUGCAGCUGUGACCUACACCACAGCCCUGGCAACGCCGGGUCCUUAACCUACAGAGGGAGGCCAAGGAUCGAACCCGCAACCUCAUGGUUCCUCGUUGGAUUCGUUUCCGCUGCACCACGACGGGACCUGCGGAAAGGCCGUUCCUAAGGUGUCUGAAGAACAGACAGCACGGAGUCAGUGAACAGCCGAACCGCACGUGUGCAACGAGCGACGUGAUAACCGUGCCGGCCAGGUUCCUCCAGCAGGACCGCGGCCGCCUUUUUCAGGGAGGCUUUUUCUCUGCUGCCUUUGUAUGACGGUUGCUUUUCCUGAUUUUCUGGAGGAACAGGAGGGAUUUGCCAUGAACUGCUAUCUGGUUUUAUAUAGUUUUUGUAUAGCUUAAUAGCACCUGGUUCCUUUCAUAUCAGAACAUAUAGUUUUAAGUGUCUAGACUUAUUAUUUGAUGGUUUUAUUUUAAUCAGUUGGGUUUUGGGGGUUUUUUUUUUGGCUUUUUGGACCUGUACUCGGGGCAUGUGGAGGGUCCCAGGCUACGGGUUGAAUCAGAGCUGCAACCACCAGCCUACACCAGAGCCACAGCAACGCCAGAUCUGAGCCACGUCUGCGACCUACACUACAGCCCUGGCAACGCCGGAUCCUUAACCCACUGAGCGAGGCCAGGGAUCGAACCCGCAACCUCGUGGUUCCCAGUCAGAUUCGUUAACCACUGCGCCCCGACAGGAACUCCUCAAUCAGUUUCUUAGUUCACGAGUCCAUUGGUGGAUUAGACAGUCUUUUUGUAAAGAAAUAAUGCUUGACAAGACUAAAGGUUCAUCUGCUUAACUCACGCUUGAGUCUGGGGAGUCGUAUAAGGAAUAUAGUUAUCUGGUUGGUCUGGUAUGGCCUGGUUGUCUGGUUAAUCUGUGUGGCCAGCCUUCCUAGGAGGGUUUACAUGGACAUUAUGAAAGGAAGAAGCAUUUGAAUUGGGGAAGGGCAACAAAGACAAGAGCACUUGGGCCUCAGUAGCGGGAAGUUGUUGUGUCUCCUUGAAUAUACGUACGUGAACGACUUCAGCUGAAGCGCGCUCCUUCAGGUCAGCGGAAGGCCGUGUCUGUGUGUCAGACUUCCCAGGCGUGGUCAUUGUUUUCAGGGUAUGGGUAUAGUUUUCUCUGUGUUCAGAAAAUGUGCAUCUGGUGUUACUGAUUUUUUUUUAAGUUGACGUGGGACAUGGUAUCUGAUAACUUGAAUUAUUUUCAGUCUGUUGUCUACAUUCCUUUGUAGAAUUCCCGUUUCCUUAAUGUUUAUAUCUGUGCCACGGAAAAGGGCCUUCAGGAAAGGCUCUUCUGGGGGAGCCCUCACGAUGGGCCAGCCGUCUUGCAGUUUACCUUAGGGGCGGGUCUGCAAUUAGAAAAUCGGACAUGGAAGGGUUUUCUUAGGACUCGUGCGUUCCUGCGGUGUCCUGUUUGUUGAUCGAGGACAGGUUCAUUGUGGUGUCUCUGAAAUCAGGCUGUCCUGGUCUUCGUGAUAUAGUCAGUUAACAUUUAUGGUAGGUCAGGUUAUACUCUUUGUUUUGUUUUGUUUUUAAUUCCUUAAUUUUGAAAAUCUGUUAUUUUGGAGUUCCUGCUGUGGGUCAAGAAUCUGACUGCAGUGGCUCACAUUUGAUCCCUGGCCCAACACAAGUUGAAGGAUCCAGCAUUGCUGCCGCUGCAGUGUAGAUUGCAGGUGUGGCUCAGAUCCAGUCCCUGGCCCAGGAACUUCCAUGUGCCAAGGGUGUAGCCAUUUAAAAAAAAAAAAA
This 3116-nucleotide long non-coding RNA is filed under the name Sus scrofa (pig). RNAcentral's name for it is "lncRNA (ENSSSCG00035073691.1)". The record is from RNAcentral. Lineage: Eukaryota; Metazoa; Chordata; Mammalia; Artiodactyla; Suidae.